This 395-nucleotide ribosomal RNA is filed under the name uncultured bacterium. RNAcentral describes it as "bacterial SSU rRNA". It matches the Rfam family "Bacterial small subunit ribosomal RNA", at positions 505 to 898 of the family's 1533-position model. The record is from RNAcentral.
GUGCCAGCAGCCGCGGUAAUACGUAGGUGGCAAGCGUUGUCCGGAUUUACUGGGCGUAAAGGGAGCGUAGGCGGAUUUUUAAGUGGGAUGUGAAAUACCCGGGCUCAACUUGGGUGCUGCAUUCCAAACUGGAAGUCUAGAGUGCAGGAGAGGAAAGUGGAAUUCCUAGUGUAGCGGUGAAAUGCGUAGAGAUUAGGAAGAACACCAGUGGCGAAGGCGACUUUCUGGACUGUAACUGACGCUGAGGCUCGAAAGCGUGGGGAGCAAACAGGAUUAGAUACCCUGGUAGUCCACGCCGUAAACGAUGGAUACUAGGUGUGGGAGGUAUCAACUCCUUCCGUGCCGCCGUAAACACAUUAAGUAUCCCGCCUGGGGAGUACGGUCGCAAGAUUAAA